Molecule: RNA transcript, 1502 nt
Organism: Suncus etruscus (white-toothed pygmy shrew)
Lineage: Eukaryota; Metazoa; Chordata; Mammalia; Eulipotyphla; Soricidae
Gene: SIRT7
Gene name: sirtuin 7
Exons: 10
Source: RefSeq, a predicted model, not a curated record
GGAAGCGCCGUUGCGGGCGCCAUGGCCGCCGGGGGUCUGAGCCGCUCCGAGCGCAAAGCGGCCGAGCGCGUCCGGCGGCUGCGGGAGGAGCAGCAGCGCGAGCGGCUGCGCCAGGUGUCGCGCAUCCUGCGCAAGGCGGCGGCCGAGCGCAGCGCCGAGGAGGGCCGGCUGCUGGCCGAGAGCGAGGACCUGGUCACCGAGCUGCAGGGCCGCAGCCGGCGGCGCGAAGGCCUCAAGCGGCGGCAGGAGGAGGUGUGCGAUGCCCCGGACGAGCUGCGGAGGAAGGUGCGCGAGCUGGCCGCCGCCGUGCGCAGCGCCAAGCACUUGGUGGUCUACACCGGCGCGGGCAUCAGCACGGCAGCCUCGAUCCCUGAUUAUCGAGGACCCAACGGAGUGUGGACGCUGCUUCAGAAAGGCAGACCCGUGAGUGCUGCUGACCUGAGCGAGGCCGAGCCCACCCUGACACACAUGAGCAUCUACCGCCUGCACGAGCGGAAGCUGGUCCAGCAUGUGGUGUCUCAGAACUGUGACGGGCUCCACCUUCGAAGUGGGCUGCCCCGCUCGGCCAUCUCGGAGCUGCACGGGAACAUGUACAUUGAGGUCUGCACCACCUGCACCCCCAACCGGGAGUAUGUGCGGGUGUUCGAUGUCACGGAGCGCACUGCCCUCCACCGGCACCAGACCGGCCGGGCCUGCCACAGGUGUGGGGCCCAGCUCCGGGACACGAUCGUGCACUUCGGGGAGCGGGGAACCCUGGGGCAGCCCCUGAAUUGGGAGGCAGCCACCCAAGCGGCCAGCAAGGCAGACACCAUCCUGUGCCUGGGCUCUAGCCUCAAGGUGCUAAAGAAGUACCCACGCCUCUGGUGCAUGGCCAAGCCCCCAAGCCGGAGGCCGAAGCUCUACAUCGUCAACCUGCAGUGGACCCCGAAGGAUGAUUGGGCGGCUCUGAAGCUGCAUGGGAAGUGUGAUGAGGUCAUGCAGCUCCUCAUGGACGAGCUGGGCCUGGAGAUCCCCCGCUAUAGCAGGUGGGGCAGCUCUGGGCGUCCGGUGCCUGUGCCACCCAGUGGCUCCAUGCGGGCAUCCUGCUGGGGAGCAGUCCCCCCUUCAGGCAGCCCAACCCCACCCCCACCCCACCCCACCCCACCCCUGGGAAGGUGUUCUGUGCGUGGAGCACUCGGUUUGGGAGCUGGCGGCUUUGGGGGAAGCGUGAAUGGCUAAUACGGGAUGUGGUGAUGUAGACUUGGUGUCUGUAUGGAGUAAAAAGUUGACACUUUCUUUCUCUGUGAAUUUUCAGGGUCUUAUAGGGGAAAUCAAUAACUUCUUUUAAUCAAAGGGUUCAAGAAUUAAGGAUCCCUUCGCCUCCGGGCCUGGCAAUUCUUGUGCCAGGACCCCAUCUUCUCCCUGGCCACACCUCUGCGCGCCGGCGAAGAGGGCAGCCACAGCCGCAAGUCUCUGCGCAGAAGUCCAGAGGAGGCACCAGGAGACCAGACUGCCCAGCCCAG